GAUGAACGUUGGCGGCAUGCCUUACACAUGCAAGUCGAACGGUAACAGGUCUUAGGAUGCUGACGAGUGGCGAACGGGUGAGUAAUACAUCGGAACGUGCCUAGUAGUGGGGGAUAACUACUCGAAAGAAUGGCUAAUACCGCAUGAGAUCUACGGAUGAAAGCAGGGGAUCGCAAGACCUUGUGCUACUAGAGCGGCCGAUGGCAGAGUAGGUAGUUGGUGGGAUAAAAGCUUACCAAGCCGACGAUCUGUAGCUGGUCUGAGAGGACGGUCAGCCACACUGGGACUGAGACACGGCCCAGACUCCUACGGGAGGCAGCAGUGGGGAAUUUUGGACAAUGGGCGCAAGCCUGAUCCAGCAAUGCCGCGUGCAGGAUGAAGGCCUUCGGGUUGUAAACUGCUUUUGUACGGAACGAAAAGCCCCGGGUUAAUACCCUGGGGUCAUGACGGUACCGUAAGAAUAAGCACCGGCUAACUACGUGCCAGCCGCCGCAGUAA
RNAcentral lists this ribosomal RNA (498 nucleotides) under uncultured bacterium. Its description in RNAcentral is "partial 16S ribosomal RNA". It matches the Rfam family "Bacterial small subunit ribosomal RNA", at positions 28 to 523 of the family's 1533-position model. The record is from RNAcentral.